This is a long non-coding RNA of Dreissena polymorpha, 636 nucleotides long. RefSeq lists it as uncharacterized. The record is from RefSeq and is a predicted model, not a curated record. The transcript is spliced from 4 exons. NCBI's taxonomy places the organism in Eukaryota, Metazoa, Mollusca, Bivalvia, Myida, Dreissenidae.
CUUACAUGAUACACGCUUAUGUUACAAAUUAUCUCUUUAUUCAUUGUCCCGUGUUGAGAGAAUUCGCGUUGUAUGUAGUUAAAUCUUGUUAUAUUCCUAUCUUUUUAACAGUGAGGGUUUAACAUAAGAUAUCGCAUUUCAUAAUAUACGGGUUAUAAUUGAGGGCAUACAUACGAGAUGACUGCUUUGCAGAGAAAAGUUGUUUUGAUUACUGUUAAAAUCGCAACAUAUAGGGAAGAAACACGUCUUGUAGACGCUUCACAGUCGAUAACCAUUUUGAUCGAAAACAGAGGCGAGAAGUAAAAUCGGUGAGGGUAUGGCCGUUCAUUUAGCGGGGCUUGGGUGCCGCCUGUCGCUGAACGGACGGAGCGCAGCGAACCUCGUGAGGGUCACCGAGGCGUGCAAGAAGAAACGGUGUAAGGAGGACAGUGCACGAUUGUGAGCAACAUCUCUAGAAGAGCACAUGGAAAAUACCAGGACGAGGAGCUGUAUCAGAAGUUUGCAGUAGACAACUUUCACCUCUGGAGAAAAGACAGAACAGCACAUGGAGGUGGCGUGGCGGUGUAUCUUAGGUCUCAAAUAGCAGGCGAACGAAAACCGAUGCUUGAAUUUAGUGAACUAGAAAGUAUUACAUUA